AUCCUUUUGUAGUUCAUAAGCGUGAUGAUUGGGUUGCCAAGCGACCAUGAGAUGUGCCACCCACAAAAG
RNAcentral lists this non-coding RNA (69 nucleotides) under Erinaceus europaeus (western European hedgehog). Its description in RNAcentral is "Small nucleolar RNA U13". It matches the Rfam family "Small nucleolar RNA U13", at positions 1 to 71 of the family's 104-position model. The record is from Rfam by way of RNAcentral. Lineage: Eukaryota; Metazoa; Chordata; Mammalia; Eulipotyphla; Erinaceidae.